Molecule: ribosomal RNA, 437 nt
Filed under: uncultured bacterium
Lineage: Bacteria
Description: partial 16S ribosomal RNA
Rfam family: Bacterial small subunit ribosomal RNA
Source: RNAcentral
AGCGAACGCUGGCGGCAGGCUUAACACAUGCAAGUCGAGCGGGCAUCCUUGUGGUGUCAGCGGCAGACGGGUGAGUAACGCGUGGGAACGUGCCCUUCGGUUCGGAUUAACUCAGGGAAACUUGAGCUAAUACCGGAUACGUGCGAGAGCAGAAAGGUUUAUCUGCCGAAGGAUCGGCCCGCGUCUGAUUAGCUAGUUGGUGAGGUUAUGGCUCACCAAGGCGACGAUCAGUAGCUGGUCUGAGAGGAUGAUCAGCCACACUGGGACUGAGACACGGCCCAGACUCCUACGGGAGGCAGCAGUGGGGAAUAUUGGACAAUGGGGGCAACCCUGAUCCAGCCAUGCCGCGUGAGUGAUGACGGCCUUAGGGUUGUAAAGCUCUUUUCUCCGGGACGAUAAUGACGGUACCGGAGGAAUAAGCCCCGGCUAACUUCGUG